Molecule: small RNA, 39 nt
Filed under: Rhodococcus sp. WAY2
Lineage: Bacteria; Bacillati; Actinomycetota; Actinomycetes; Mycobacteriales; Nocardiaceae
Source: RNAcentral
GGAAGUCCGGUGCAAUCCCGGCACGGUCGCGCCACUGUG